RNAcentral lists this ribosomal RNA (545 nucleotides) under uncultured Glomeromycotina. RNAcentral's name for it is "SSU rRNA". It matches the Rfam family "Eukaryotic small subunit ribosomal RNA", at positions 548 to 1096 of the family's 1831-position model. Lineage: Eukaryota; Fungi; Glomeromycota. The record is from RNAcentral.
UUGGAGGGCAGUCUGGUGCCAGCAGCCGCGGUAAUUCCAGCUCCAAUAGCGUAUAUUAAAGUUGUUGCAGUUAAAAAGCUCGUAGUUGAAUUUCGGGAUCAGAGUGUCGGUCGUGCCUCGGUACGUACUGGUAUUAUUGGUUCCUACCUUCUGAAGAACCGCGAUGACAUUAAUUUGGUGUCGUGGGGAAUCAGGACUGUUACUUUGAAAAAAUUAGAGUGUUUAAAGCAGGCGCACGCUUGAAUACAUUAGCAUGGAAUAAUGAAAUAGGACGUUUGAUUCUAUUUUGUUGGUUUCUAGGAUCGACGUAAUGAUUAAUAGGGAUAGUUGGGGGCAUUAGUAUUCAAUUGUCAGAGGUGAAAUUCUUGGAUUUAUUGAAGACUAACUAUUGCGAAAGCAUUUGCCAAGGAUGUUUUCAUUAAUCAAGAACGAAAGUUAGGGGAUCGAAGACGAUCAGAUACCGUCGUAGUCUUAACCAUAAACUAUGCCGACUAGGGAUCGGAUGAUGUUAAUUUUUUAAUGACUCAUUCGGCGCCUUACGGGAA